UACAGAGGGUGCAAGCGUUAAUCGGAAUUACUGGGCGUAAAGCGUGCGUAGUCGGCUUUUUAAGUCGGGUGUGAAAUCCCCGGGCUCAACCUGGGAAUUGCAUUGGAAACUAUCCCGCUAGAGGGUCGGAGGGGAGACUGGAAUUCUCGGUGUAGCAGUGAAAUGCGUAGAUAUCGAGAGGAACACCAGUGGCGAAGGCGAGUCUCUGGACGACUCCUGACACUGAGGCACGAAAGCUAGGGGAGCAAACAGG
Molecule: ribosomal RNA, 253 nt
Filed under: uncultured bacterium
Lineage: Bacteria
Description: partial 16S ribosomal RNA
Rfam family: Bacterial small subunit ribosomal RNA
Source: RNAcentral